AAUAAGUGCAGUUUUGCACUAUUCACGUUCAAUGUUUGACCGUUUGUCUUAUCUAAAUUUUUUUAUAAUUAGUAUUUUUAUUGCUAUUAGAUGAUAAAAUAUGAAUAAUACUUUGUGUGACUAAAUAUUUUCAAUUUUUUCAAAAAAUUUUUAAAUAAGACGGACAGUCAAACAUUGGGCACGGAUAUCCACGGCUGCACUUAUU
Molecule: non-coding RNA, 205 nt
Organism: Oryza barthii
Lineage: Eukaryota; Viridiplantae; Streptophyta; Magnoliopsida; Poales; Poaceae
Source: Rfam